AUCCUCGUGCUCGUCGUGAUGGCCACCGGCGGCGGCGGCGGCGCGAGUGAGAUGGCCGUCGGCGUCGGGGAGGAAAACCCGAGCCCUUCGACUAUCCCAACCCGCGGAUUCUUCGUGGCGCUGCACGUUGGCGCCGGCUUCCACGCGCCGGCGAACGAGAAGGCGUACCGCCGAGCCAUGAAGCGCGCCUGCCUCGCCGCCGCGGCCGUCCUACGCGAGGGCAGUGGCACAAGCCUUGAUGCAGUUGCAGCUGCCAUUCACGUUUUGGAGGAUGAUCCCAUCACAAAUGCUGGUCGGGGUUCAAAUUUGACUGAGAGUGGUCAUGUGGAAUGUGAUGCAAGCAUUAUGGAUGGAAGUACUGGUUCUUUUGGAGCUGUUGGAGCUAUUCGAGAUCAGGUGUAAAGAAUCCAAUCCAAGUCGCUUUGCACUUGGCAAAGGAACAGAUUGCAGGAUCGUCAUUUCUUGGUCGGAUACCCCCCAUGUUUUUGGUUGGUGAAGGAGCAUAUAAAUGGGCAAAAUCUAAAGGAAUGGAUCUACUUGAAUCUACAUCGGAGGCUAACAGUUGGUUGGUGACUGAGAAUGCAAGAACGCAGUGGGUAAAAUACACGUCAUUGCUAGCUAAUUCCAAGAAACUAUUAGAGCUUAACACUGAUUCUGGUUCAGAACAUGAUUCAGUACAGUUGGAAGCACCAGGCACUGAAUCUGAGAAUAUUGCUGAUGUAAAGAAGAUGUUCACACAGUCAAUCAUGGAAGACAAUCAAGACUGUGUAAUGGAUACAGUUGGUGUUAUUUGUGUAGAUAGCUAUGGAAAUGUAGCAUCAGGUGCAUCUAGUGGUGGUAUUGCCCUGAAGGUAGAUGGCCGGGUUGGGCUUGCAGCUAUGUAUGGCUCUGGGUGCUGGGCUUCUUCCAAAGGACCCUUUGGUACACCAUUCAUAGUUGCCUGUUGUGCCACUGGAGCUGGAGAACAUUUGAUUAGAGGAUUUGCUGCCCGUGAAUGUUGCAUCUCAUCAUCAUUGUAUUCUCAUUUAUUCGAGUGUUUUUUUUUUUGCUUUUUACAUCUGUACAUCUGUUCAGUAUGUCAGUAGGGCUAAACAACUAGUACACUAUUUUUUUUGGCAAAUAUCUCCUUCAGUAAUUGUAAGUCUGAAUAUCUAUAAUUGUAUAUUGUCAGGUCACAAUCUGGUCCUGCUUCUGGCUGCACUAAAGUUCUCCGUUCUGUGGUUCAAAGCAGCAGUAGGAUGUCUCAUGAUACGGGCGCUGGGUUGCUGCUAGUUCAGGCUGAUGUUCAAAAGCGAGGGGAUUUGUCCGAACUGGAAGCCGCUGAGCUGGUUGCUGCCUACUCGUCCCCAUCAUUUGGAGUUGGUUAUUUCGGAAGCAAUAUGAAUAAUCCAAAGAUUUCGAUGCUUAGAGCAUCAGAAGGCGCAUCUGGUAUUGUCAACCACUUUGCGACUAGGAUCAAGAUUGAUGCAGAAUCAUCUGAAUUUUGACAACGGGCCUGUCUCUGUUGGCAAUCGUCUUUUCCUGUGAAACAGCUGCAAAAGCACUUGUUUUGGCAUUCAUCCAUUCUGAAUUAUUUGAACAGUAUUUGAUGAAUCGUUUGAAUAUUAUUAUCUGAUGACAGCUUGUGAUCCAAACAACCUUAGAUUG
RNA transcript from Panicum virgatum (switchgrass), 1647 nucleotides. It is a transcript of the gene named putative threonine aspartase, with no coding region annotated. The transcript is spliced from 10 exons. NCBI's taxonomy places the organism in Eukaryota, Viridiplantae, Streptophyta, Magnoliopsida, Poales, Poaceae. The record is from RefSeq and is a predicted model, not a curated record.